GAGAGUAUAGCUCAAGAUGUAGAGUUCAUGCUUAGCAUGCAUAAGAUCCUGGGUUCAAUCCCUGGUACUUUCU
This 73-nucleotide transfer RNA is filed under the name Camelus bactrianus (Bactrian camel). It matches the Rfam family "tRNA". From Rfam's summary of the family: Transfer RNA (tRNA) molecules are approximately 80 nucleotides in length. RNAcentral also lists the same sequence under 2 other names. Lineage: Eukaryota; Metazoa; Chordata; Mammalia; Artiodactyla; Camelidae. The record is from Rfam by way of RNAcentral.